UUUCUUUCAUUCGGGGUUUUUCAAGCUAGAAGUUUUUAUGUUAUUGGGUUAUUGAUAAAGUUGAAAUUUUGCUUGAGUUAAUUUUCAUCAUCUCCUCUUUCUCAGUUUUUCCGAAAUCCCACACCAUUUCUUUUCUCCUCUUUCUCAAUUUUCAAUUUGUGAACUUUGAUUUUCAUUGUAAUUUUUGGCUACGAAAAUCUACAGGGAAACAAAACAAAAAUCAGGGCUGGGAAUUGUUGAUGGGAAAAUAACAGUUGAAGGUUCAUUCUAAGGUUUUGAUUUAAUUAUGUCUUCUUCUUUUGCUCAUUUUUGUUCUUCAACCCUAAUUUUCCUGCUUUGUGAAUUUAGUUUUGAUUUUUUCCAAUUUGUUCAUCAACACCACUUUCAUUUGAGUUGUGAAAAUUAACAUGUGAAAGAAAGCAAGAAUCAGGCAAGCCCAUUGCUUUCCGAUUUGAGUUAUUGUUUCUAUAUUUAUCACUUUCUGAUUUAAAGGAUGCUUGAUAUUGUUCUUUUUCAACUUUGAUAUUGUUCUUUUUUCUCCUUCUAUGUAGAAGGAUGAUUGAUUAAUUUUGGAUUCGACUUAGUCCAGAAUAAAAAGUAGUCAUUGAAGAUCAUCAAGACAAGGUUUCUCUGGGCGAAACAACUGGUUUGGCAGCAAAAUGUUUAGGCCUGCAAAAUUUCGAUGGUCAUUUGGCUUACUAUUUAGUUUUUUGAUGAUAAUUUGGGGAAGCAUUAGCUCCUCUAUCAAGAGGUAGCUUCAAGAAGCUUCAAUUUUAAAGAUUUAGCAUCUUGGGUUUUGGUGAAGAAAGGUGAAAAGAAAGAAAAUUUUGUUUUGGUACUACUACUGCAUUGCUCAGUGAAAAGAAGCUUAUUUGAAUGGUUUUGGAAUGUGUAUUUGAUUGGGCAUUGAAGGUUUUCAGAUUGAGUUGGUAGAGAAAUGGUGGUCAUUUGAAGAAGAGGAACCAAACCAAGUUUAAUUUGGAGAAAGAAAUCAAAAAGGAGGCGCUGACAGCUUUGUCGCUCGGUUUCUCCAUUGAUGAGCAGAUUAGGGUCGAUGUUAUCCAGGAGUUUGUAGGAAAAGAACAAAAUGACUACAUUGUUAUAAGAAAUCAUAUCCUUUUGAGAUGGAGGCCUAAGGUUCAAGUGUGGUUGUCUAAGGGAAACUGUCCUGCUUAUGAUUUUAUCUUGUACAACACCCUUUUCUCAUUUGCAAAUUGUUAAUUUUUUAUUCAACAUGAAAACCAAUUUUCUUGAUAAUAAAAUCAUAUACUAAACCUAUUGAA
RNA transcript from Amaranthus tricolor (Joseph's coat), 1283 nucleotides. It is a transcript of the gene named lysine-specific histone demethylase 1 homolog 2-like, with no coding region annotated. The transcript has 4 exons. NCBI's taxonomy places the organism in Eukaryota, Viridiplantae, Streptophyta, Magnoliopsida, Caryophyllales, Amaranthaceae. The record is from RefSeq and is a predicted model, not a curated record.